UCAACUUGAGAGUUUGAUCCUGGCUCAGGACGAACGCUGGCGGCAGGCUUAACACAUGCAAGUCGAGCGCCCUGCUUGCAGGGAGCGGCAGACGGGUGAGUAACGCGUGGGAACAUGCCCUUCGGUACGGAAUAGCCCCGGGAAACUGGGUGUAAUACCGUAUACGACCUCCGGGUGAAAGAUUUAUCGCCGAAGGAUUGGCCCGCGUUGGAUUAGCUUGAUGGUGGGGUAAAGGCCUACCAUGGCGACGAUCCAUAGCUGGUCUGAGAGGACGACCAGCCACACUGGGACUGAGACACGGCCCAGACUCCUACGGGAGGCAGCAGUGGGGAAUAUUGGACAAU
This 344-nucleotide ribosomal RNA is filed under the name Parvularcula sp. RNAcentral's name for it is "bacterial SSU rRNA". It matches the Rfam family "Bacterial small subunit ribosomal RNA", at positions 1 to 372 of the family's 1533-position model. Lineage: Bacteria; Pseudomonadati; Pseudomonadota; Alphaproteobacteria; Parvularculales; Parvularculaceae. The record is from RNAcentral.